Molecule: non-coding RNA, 889 nt
Organism: Macaca mulatta (Rhesus monkey)
Lineage: Eukaryota; Metazoa; Chordata; Mammalia; Primates; Cercopithecidae
Source: RefSeq, a predicted model, not a curated record
CUGGACAGCGGCGGGACAGAAAAAUUCACUAACCACAGGCCCGGGCCCACAAGAAGCGCAGCAGAAAGGCGUCCGGGGACCCCGGCCUGCAAUCCCGCCACACUGAGUGCAUCCAGCCCCGCCCGGCCUAACCCCUUCGGUCACUCAGCCCGACCCGACCACGCCUCCCGCAGCCCGGCCUUAAACGCCUGCCACGCACCCCACAACCCCUCACACAGGAGGCCGCUUUCUCCGGAGCGCAAUGGCGGCCAGUGCGCGUCCGCUCCGCGUUCCCAGCGCCGGAAAGUGCGCAACCCGACUUCAGCAGUUGAUCCAAUCGGCGCCGAGGUGCUCAGAUGGAUUGGGUGACCAGAGCAAGAGGAACCUGGUGGCGCUGCCGGAAUAGCCACAGACUCAUCCACCCCAGCGGGACCAGGCGGAAGAGGGCCAGGGUGGCCAAGGAGGCCCAGCUGGUCACGCUGAAGGCCAGGGAUGGGGCCUGGCGAGAGAGCAACAGCAGCUUCCGCAGGUGCAAGCAGGCAGAGUUCAACUCCAGGAGCAGAGACACCAUGGAGAAGCCCACGUAGUGGCCAGACAGAACAGCGGUGCUGAGGCAGCUCACCACCUGGGAGCCAGGGUCACAGGUCAGAGGACCCCCCACAACCUGCCAGCCAUCAUGUCCCAAUAACCCAGGCCUUAAGAGAGGCUUCCACGCACUCUGUGGGACUCCCCAAACACCUGACCUUUAUGCUUUUACCUUUAUCCUGGGGCCCUGAGCAGCCUUGAAACAACCCUUCCAUAGAUGGAGCCAGGAUUGGCCCAGGGAGGGGCUGUCUCAUCCCCUAACACCCCUUUAACUUCCCAUUCCUGGGCUUUCUUUUCUUUCUUUCUUUUUUUUUUUUUUUUUUUU